This 704-nucleotide ribosomal RNA is filed under the name Kocuria sp. RNAcentral describes it as "bacterial SSU rRNA". It matches the Rfam family "Bacterial small subunit ribosomal RNA", at positions 70 to 785 of the family's 1533-position model. The record is from RNAcentral. Lineage: Bacteria; Bacillati; Actinomycetota; Actinomycetes; Micrococcales; Micrococcaceae.
GAUCUCCCGCUUGCGGGGGUGAUUAGUGGCGAACGGGUGAGUAAUACGUGAGUAACCUGCCCUUGACUCUGGGAUAAGCCUGGGAAACCGGGUCUAAUACUGGAUACGACCCCCUGUCGCAUGGUGGGGGGUGGAAAGGGUUUGACUGGUUUUGGAUGGGCUCACGGCCUAUCAGCUUGUUGGUGGGGUAAUGGCUCACCAAGGCGACGACGGGUAGCCGGCCUGAGAGGGUGACCGGCCACACUGGGACUGAGACACGGCCCAGACUCCUACGGGAGGCAGCAGUGGGGAAUAUUGCACAAUGGGCGGAAGCCUGAUGCAGCGACGCCGCGUGAGGGAUGACGGCCUUCGGGUUGUAAACCUCUUUCAGCAGGGAAGAAGCCACAAGUGACGGUACCUGCAGAAGAAGCGCCGGCUAACUACGUGCCAGCAGCCGCGGUAAUACGUAGGGCGCAAGCGUUGUCCGGAAUUAUUGGGCGUAAAGAGCUCGUAGGCGGUUUGUCGCGUCUGCUGUGAAAGCCCGGGGCUCAACCCCGGGUCUGCAGUGGGUACGGGCAGACUAGAGUGCAGUAGGGGAGACUGGAAUUCCUGGUGUAGCGGUGAAAUGCGCAGAUAUCAGGAGGAACACCGAUGGCGAAGGCAGGUCUCUGGGCUGUUACUGACGCUGAGGAGCGAAAGCAUGGGGAGCGAACAGGAUUAGAUAC